Molecule: ribosomal RNA, 652 nt
Filed under: Chrysis solida
Lineage: Eukaryota; Metazoa; Arthropoda; Insecta; Hymenoptera; Chrysididae
Description: eukaryotic LSU rRNA
Rfam family: Eukaryotic large subunit ribosomal RNA
Source: RNAcentral
AAACCGUUCAGGGGUAAACCUGAGGAACCCGAAAGAUCGAAUGGGGAGAUUCAGCGUCAGCGGCGCUGGCUCGGCGAAGUGGACGAUGUCGCGGACUACGGUAUCGCGACACGUUAUCACUAUGCCGCGUCCGGUGUCGUCGUCGUGCACUUCUCCUCUAGUAGAACGUCGCGACCCGUUGGGUGCCGGUCUACGGCCCGAGAUGUAGCCUGUCGCGUCGCUUAGGCGCAUGCGGCAGACUCUCGGUCGCCCGGCCGGCUGCCCGGCGGUAGAAAGCACGGUAUCUGGCCGCAAUUUUUGAACUGCGUCGGGCCCGCCGCAAGCGAGGCCAGUGUCCCGGAGGUACGGACCCAGUGCCGUCCCCGGGCCUGGCCAGCUGUUGGCAGGCGGAGUCCUCAGACGGGCAGAUCAUGAUGGUACCGGUCGGCGACGCUACUGCUUUGGGUACUCUCAGGACCCGUCUUGAAACACGGACCAAGGAGUCUAACAUGUGCGCGAGUCAUUGGGACCGCAAAGCCUAAAGGCGCAAUGAAAGUGAAGGUCGGCCUCGCGUCGACCGAGGGAGGAUGGGCCGCGUCACGACGCGGCUCCGCACUCCCGGGGCGUCUCGUUCUCAUUGCGAGAAGAGGCGCACCCAGAGCGUACACGUUGG